AGAGUUUGAUCCUGGCUCAGGACGAACGCUGGCGGCGUGCUUAACACAUGCAAGUCGAACGCUCCUAGAGGUUGGAGAUUAGAGGUUAGAAGCUGGAUUUAAAGCCCGUGUUUCGGGCGGCGGGCUAAAAGGAAAGCCCGAGGUCUAAUUUCCGACUUCCAAUCUCCAACCUCCAGAAGAGAGUGGCGCACGGGUGAGUAACACGUGGGCAAUCUGCCCGGAAGACUGGGAUAACAGCGCGAAAGUGCUGCUAAUACCGGAUACCUUCACGAAGUCGCAUGACUUUGUGCAGAAAGUUUUUCGCUUCCGGAUGAGCCCGCGUCCCAUUAGCUAGUUGGUGAGGUAACGGCCCACCAAGGCGACGAUGGGUAGCUGGUCUGAGAGGACGAUCAGCCACACUGGAACUGAGACACGGUCCAGACUCCUACGGGAGGCAGCAGUGGGGAAUCUUGCGCAAUGGGCGAAAGCCUGACGCAGCAACGCCGCGUGAACGAUGAAGGCCUUCGGGUCGUAAAGUUCUGUCAAGGGGGACGAUAAUGACGGUACCCUUGGAGGAAGCCCCGGCUAACUACGUGCCAGCAGCCGCGGUAAUAC
Molecule: ribosomal RNA, 594 nt
Filed under: uncultured Dethiobacter sp.
Lineage: Bacteria; Bacillati; Bacillota; Dethiobacteria; Dethiobacterales; Dethiobacteraceae
Description: bacterial SSU rRNA
Rfam family: Bacterial small subunit ribosomal RNA
Source: RNAcentral